This 398-nucleotide ribosomal RNA is filed under the name uncultured bacterium. RNAcentral describes it as "bacterial SSU rRNA". It matches the Rfam family "Bacterial small subunit ribosomal RNA", at positions 355 to 772 of the family's 1533-position model. The record is from RNAcentral.
UUAGGAAUCUUCCACAAUGGGCGAAAGCCUGAUGGAGCGACGCCGCGUGAGGGAUGAAGGCCUUAGGGUUGUAAACCUCUAAAAGAGGGACGAUAAUGACGGUACCUCUUGAAUAGCACCGGCUAACUCCGUGCCAGCAGCCGCGGUAAUACGGAGGGUGCAAGCGUUAUCCGGAAUCACUGGGCGUAAAGGGCGCGUAGGCGGUCUGUUAAGUCCGAUGUUAAAUCCCGGGGCUCAACCCCGGAUAAGCGUUGGAUACUGGCAGGCUAGACGGUUGGAGAGGCGAGUGGAAUUACCAGUGUAGCGGUGGAGUGCGUAGAUACUGGUAGGAACACCCAUUGCGAAGGCAGCUCGCUGGACAACACGUGACGCUGAGGCGCGAAAGUGUGGGGAGCAAA